This 301-nucleotide ribosomal RNA is filed under the name uncultured bacterium. RNAcentral describes it as "partial 16S ribosomal RNA". It matches the Rfam family "Bacterial small subunit ribosomal RNA", at positions 509 to 807 of the family's 1533-position model. The record is from RNAcentral.
CAGCAGCCGCGGGAAUACGGAGGGGGCUAGCGUUGUUCGGAAUUACUGGGCGUAAAGCGCACGUAGGCGGCUUUGUAAGUCAGGGGUGAAAUCCCGGGGCUCAACCCCGGAACUGCCUUUGAUACUGGGAGUCUUGAGUUCGAGAGAGGUGAGUGGAAUUGCGAGUGUAGAGGUGAAAUUCGUAGAUAUUCGCAGGAACACCAGUGGCGAAGGCGGCUCACUGGCUCGAUACUGACGCUGAGGUGCGAAAGCGUGGGAAGCAAACAGGAUUAGAUACCCCGGUAGUCCCUGUCUCUUAUAC